GUGGGUAACCUACCCCGGGGACUGGUAUAGCCCUUCGAGAGAAGGGGUAAUCCCGGGCGACGUGUCGAGGGGGCAUCUCCUUGCCACCAAAUGAAUUUCGCCCCGGGAGGGGCCCACGUGAUAUUAGCUAGUUGGUAGGGUAACGGCCUACCAAGGCGAAGAUGUCUAGCGGGUGUGAGAGCACGACCCGCGCCACUGGCACUGAGACACUGGCCAGACACCUACGGGUGGCUGCAGUCGAGGAUCUUCGGCAAUGGGCGCAAGCCUGACCGAGCGACGCCGCGUGGGCGAUGAAGGCCUUCGGGUUGUAAAGCCCUGUCGAGGGGGAGAAAAUUUGAUCUAUCCCUGGAGGAAGCACGGGCUAAGUUCGUGCCAGCAGCCGCGGUAAGACGAACCGUGCGAACGUUGUUCGGAAUCACUGGGCUUAAAGGGCGCGUAGGCGGGCUGCCAAGUCCGCGGUGAAAUCCCCCGGCUCAACCGGGGAACUGCCGCGGAUACUGGAAGUCUC
RNAcentral lists this ribosomal RNA (508 nucleotides) under uncultured Planctomycetota bacterium. RNAcentral describes it as "bacterial SSU rRNA". It matches the Rfam family "Bacterial small subunit ribosomal RNA", at positions 117 to 643 of the family's 1533-position model. Lineage: Bacteria; Pseudomonadati; Planctomycetota. The record is from RNAcentral.